UACGUAGGGUGCAAGCGUUAUCCGGAAUUAUUGGGCGUAAAGAGCUCGUAGGCGGUUUGUCGCGUCUGCUGUGAAAACUGGGGGCUCAACCCCCCAGCCUGCAGUGGGGUACGGGCAGACUAGAGUGCGGUAGGGGAGAUUGGAAUUCCUGGUGUAGCGGUGGAAUGCGCAGAUAGUCGAGGAGGAACACCGAUGGCGAAGGCAGAUCUCUGGGCCGUAACUGACGCGAGGAGCGAAAGCAUGGGGAGCGAACAGGAUUAGAUACCCCCGUGUAAGUCCGAGACCAAAGUCCUCGUGCUACCCGUAAU
This 308-nucleotide ribosomal RNA is filed under the name uncultured bacterium. RNAcentral describes it as "partial 16S ribosomal RNA". It matches the Rfam family "Bacterial small subunit ribosomal RNA", at positions 524 to 826 of the family's 1533-position model. The record is from RNAcentral.